Selaginella moellendorffii is the source of this 1325-nucleotide long non-coding RNA. RefSeq lists it as uncharacterized. Lineage: Eukaryota; Viridiplantae; Streptophyta; Lycopodiopsida; Selaginellales; Selaginellaceae. The transcript is spliced from 5 exons. The record is from RefSeq and is a predicted model, not a curated record.
CGAGGUUAGCGAGCAUACAUUCUUGCUUGGUGUUCGCAUUUGGGCGGCUGCAAAACAAUAUGCCACUUCUUCCCUGGUCUCUGGAGAUCUUCGUCUCCAGAUGCCUAAUCGUGCUGGCGGCGACAGCAGCAGCAGCAGCAGCAGCAAGCGAUCGGUCCGGGAGCUGCAGCACCGCCUCUACUUGUCCCUCCAGGGAUUCAUGCUUCUCGGCUCCAGGCUGGCUGUCACGGUAAAUCGAUGGCUAUCGCGUUUCCAUCAUGAAGAUUCCAGGUGUUGGCAAAUGUAGCAUGUUACCGGAUCCCAAACUCGGGCCGCUGCGCCUUUCAGGUGACUUGAUUUGGAGAAGUUUGGGGGAACUUGCUCUGAUGGUUUGAUCAUGUUUGAGUCUCCUCUGGCACGAACGUCACCUCCGAUUCUACAGCCUACAUGAAGUUUCGCCCCAGCUCAAUUCCCUCAACGAUGUCCACGGGGCGGUGUUAGCGAUACACAUCUCAAGCGAGUAGCGAGCUUACUAACGAGCACGGCUUGACCUGGAUACAGGAGUCGAGCGGUCCGAGCGAGUCGCGCAGGACAGUUUGUGGUCUGUGCAGUAACUUCUUCACGACUUGCGCACGCACGCUGGCGCGGCUCCGUGUGGAGGAGGAUUUGCAGGACCAGCUGCUGGCAGAGCGUCAGGUAUUCGUCAAACAUUUUCUUUCGCUGGGCAGGAAGCUGCUGUCCGGGUCCGGGGGAUUCUCAAGGAUGGGGGCGGCUUUGCAGGCGGGAUAGCAUGAAAACGCUACGGGGAACGAUGGCCGCAUUCUCGCUGGCAUUCUCAGAGUCUGAGCGACUUUGUUCAUCUCCUUGUCCUUCUUUUUUGGACAGGAUACUCUGGUAAAGAUGUGCAUCGGGCUACUAUAAUGAAAGCAACCACAGUCACAAGGCAUGUAACGGAACUCGUUGCCGGAGCUCCUUUCUCUCGUUAUUUUCCCAAGUCCCACUGUACUCGUUUUCAGGAAGCAGGGGAAGCAGUGGAGCGUGGUUAGUACGCUGCGAGGAAGAAACCGUCUUCUUCAGAAAAGCAGUGGAAGGCUGCGAUCGAUCAUCCGCAGGGGAUUGCUGUGCGUAGCAAUGGAGUUGAGACGAAAAGCAAGCUGGAAAGUAAAACCAAGCUUCAGAAGGGACGGAAGCGAUCCGGAAAGCACUAUUUUGCUCAUUUUUGCAGAGGGGACUUGCCUGAACAAGGCGGACAAUGUGAUGUUCAAGCAGAUUGUAUUCGAACUGGAUUUCACUGUCUGCAAAGUAAAACAAGAUAAUUGUCCACACUAAGUUUAUACUUUUCAUCA